Molecule: ribosomal RNA, 471 nt
Filed under: Salmonella enterica
Lineage: Bacteria; Pseudomonadati; Pseudomonadota; Gammaproteobacteria; Enterobacterales; Enterobacteriaceae
Description: bacterial SSU rRNA
Rfam family: Bacterial small subunit ribosomal RNA
Source: RNAcentral
AAAUUGAAGAGUUUGAUCAUGGCUCAGAUUGAACGCUGGCGGCAGGCCUAACACAUGCAAGUCGAACGGUAACAGGAAGCAGCUUGCUGCUUUGCUGACGAGUGGCGGACGGGUGAGUAAUGUCUGGGAAACUGCCUGAUGGAGGGGGAUAACUACUGGAAACGGUGGCUAAUACCGCAUAACGUCGCAAGACCAAAGAGGGGGACCUUCGGGCCUCUUGCCAUCAGAUGUGCCCAGAUGGGAUUAGCUUGUUGGUGAGGUAACGGCUCACCAAGGCGACGAUCCCUAGCUGGUCUGAGAGGAUGACCAGCCACACUGGAACUGAGACACGAUCCAGACUCCUACGGGAGGCAGCAGUGGGGAAUAUUGCACAAUGGGCGCAAGCCUGAUGCAGCCAUGCCGCGUGUAUGAAGAAGGCCUUCGGGUUGUAAAGUACUUUCAGCGGGGAGGAAGGUGUUGUGGUUAAUAACC